GUGCUCAUUUGGGGAGCAUAUAUACUAAAAUUGGGAUGAUACAGAGAAGAUUAGCAUGUGAAUGCCCCAUGUGCAGGGUCCAUUCCCAAAUUUAUGAAGGGUUUCAUUUGAGA
This is a small nuclear RNA of Ictidomys tridecemlineatus (thirteen-lined ground squirrel), 113 nucleotides long. NCBI's taxonomy places the organism in Eukaryota, Metazoa, Chordata, Mammalia, Rodentia, Sciuridae. The record is from Ensembl.